This 226-nucleotide ribosomal RNA is filed under the name uncultured Lactobacillus sp. Its description in RNAcentral is "partial 16S ribosomal RNA". It matches the Rfam family "Bacterial small subunit ribosomal RNA", at positions 136 to 354 of the family's 1533-position model. Lineage: Bacteria; Bacillati; Bacillota; Bacilli; Lactobacillales; Lactobacillaceae. The record is from RNAcentral.
GAUCGGGAUAACACCUGGAAACAGAUGCUAAUACCGGAUAACAACAGAUGAUGCCUAUCAACUGUUUAAAAGAUGGUUCUGCUAUCACUCUUGGAUGGACCUGCGGUGCAUUAGCUAGUUGGUAGGGUAACGGCCUACCAAGGCGAUGAUGCAUAGCCGAGUUGAGAGACUGAUCGGCCACAUUGGGACUGAGACACGGCCCAAACUCCUACGGGAGGCAGCAGAU